This 538-nucleotide ribosomal RNA is filed under the name Rana japonica (Japanese frog). RNAcentral describes it as "partial 16S ribosomal RNA". It matches the Rfam family "Bacterial large subunit ribosomal RNA", at positions 1831 to 2587 of the family's 2925-position model. The record is from RNAcentral. Lineage: Eukaryota; Metazoa; Chordata; Amphibia; Anura; Ranidae.
CGCUCUUGCAAAACAUAAGAGGUCCAGCCUGCCCAGUGACAAAGUUCAACGGCCGCGGUACCCUAACCGUGCGAAGGUAGCAUAAUCACUUGUUCUUUAAAUGAGGACUCGUAUCAACGGCACUACGAGGGCUAUACUGUCUCCUUUUUCUAAUCAGUGAAACUGAUCUCCCCGUGAAGAAGCGGGGAUCAAAAUAUAAGACGAGAAGACCCCAUGGAGCUUCAAACUCUCUAUGCACUUCUAUGCUCUCACCCAUCAAACAUAAGAAACCUGCAUACUAGUUUUGGGUUGGGGGGACCACGGAGUACAAUUUAACCUCCAUAACAAAUGGGCUAAUACCCUUAUCCACGAGACACAACUCUAAGAAUUAUUAAACUAAUGUUUAUGACCCGAUAUUCGAUCAAUGAACCAAGUUACCCUGGGGAUAACAGCGCAAUCUACUUCAAGAGCCCAUAUCGACAAGUAGGUUUACGACCUCGAUGUUGGAUCAGGGUAUCCUGGUGGUGCAGCCGCUACCAAUGGUUCGUUUGUUCAACGA